Molecule: long non-coding RNA, 415 nt
Organism: Gossypium raimondii (Peruvian cotton)
Lineage: Eukaryota; Viridiplantae; Streptophyta; Magnoliopsida; Malvales; Malvaceae
Exons: 3
Source: RefSeq, a predicted model, not a curated record
UCUUACCUUGGCCGAAUGUUAAGCUUGGGAGAAUUCAUCAAUGGCUUUUAGGGUUUCGGCAAUUCCCAUUGAAAAUUAAGAUUGAGAACUAAAGAAAUCGGAGUUAGAUCGGGGAAAAGUCAAAAUAGUCGAAUAAUCGUCUAACUUCGAUUUUCCAUCGUCCGAGAUAAAAAACCAAGCUGCAGACUCGAGGAUCGUUAGCGAAGAUCAUCACUCUAUCUACUAUCUCGGUAUUAAAACGUUUAAAUUUUAACUUAUGGCAUGUAUAGGCUAGAUAAUAUUUUGGGAGUCGUACUUUAAUAUGCUGUAUAUAUAUAUAUAUAAUUAAUAGCCAUACGAAAUUAGCUUAUUUUUCUUAUGGUUUAACUGAACUGAAAUGUUAUGUUUUGUUAUAAAAAAAAUUAAAAUUAUUAAA